This is a long non-coding RNA of Populus trichocarpa (black cottonwood), 1199 nucleotides long. RefSeq lists it as uncharacterized. The record is from RefSeq and is a predicted model, not a curated record. NCBI's taxonomy places the organism in Eukaryota, Viridiplantae, Streptophyta, Magnoliopsida, Malpighiales, Salicaceae. The transcript has 3 exons.
AAUCUUGCUUAAACCCUAAAACAAUCCCUCCUUUUUUACUCUGUCCUGUGAGUCCAGCACCGAGUCAACUCACUAAACCCGAGAACAGCCAUGGCGGACACGGUCCAACACAAGCUCGAACAGAUGGUCGACGAGCUAGACGACCUAGAACGUAAAGGCAUGUUCACACGGUGAGAAAUAGCAGAGAUAGUGAAACGAAGAAGAAAAAUUUGAGUACAGAUUGAAGAGGCCAAGUCCUUUAAAGCAAGAUUUCUUAGCUUACAUUGAAUACGUGACUCAACUUGACUCACUUCGUUGAUUAAGAGAGAAAUCAAUGGCGCGUGAGCUGAAAAAGCAAUGGGAUAAGAAGAAGAGGAGAAUAAAAAAGUAUGUUUCUGAUUUUGCUGGGGUUUCAAGGAUUGUUGAGAUUUAUAGACUUGCUGUUAUGAGGUUUAAGGGAGAUUUAGAGCUUUGGUUUAGGUAUUUGGAAUUUUGUAGGGAUAAAAGAACGGGAAAAAGGUUUUGGCUAAAUUAAUUAGGUUUCAUCCAAAAGUUCCUGGACUUUGGAUUUAUGCUGCAGCUUGGGAAUUUGAUCAUAACUUGAAUGUUUCAGCUGCUCGUGCACUCACGCAGAAUGGUUUGAGGGCGUGCCCACAUUCGAAGGAUCCUUGCGUAGAGUAUCUUUGGAUGGAAUUGAUGUACCUUAACAAGUUAAAAGCUCGAAAGGUUGCGCUUGGAGAGGAGAAGGAAAAUGUGGUUCAUGAUUAUGAUAUGUUGCUCGAUGAAGAAUUGAGGAAAUGAUGAUGGAUCAAAUGCUGGUACUGAGGAGUCGGAGAAGAAAGUCGAUUUGUUUCGUGAGAAAGGCUUGAGUAUUCUGCAGACAAUCUAUUCUAGAGCUGUUCAAGCUAUCCCUUCUAGUUUUGGCUUGAGGAAGAGGUUAUUGGAGAUGCUAGAAGCAACAGGCUUGAUCCAUUCGGAAGAAAUGCGCAAGGAGAUGCUGCUAAGUGACAUGAAAAGAGACUUUUUGAGAGAACCAGAAUAUUGGAACUGGCUUGCAAGACUCGAAAUGAUUCAUUCUAAAAAUAUCGGAGAUGACUGAAACUCUGGUGCUUUGUCAGUUGCAAAAAGCAUUUCAGGUAUAUGAGGAGGCUUUGCAAUUUGUGCCUUCUCCGAUGAUGUUUAAUUUUUACACACUAUUUUUUAUGGAUGUUGCUGUUCUU